RNAcentral lists this transfer RNA (72 nucleotides) under Loxodonta africana (African savanna elephant). It matches the Rfam family "tRNA". Rfam says of the family: Transfer RNA (tRNA) molecules are approximately 80 nucleotides in length. Their secondary structure includes four short double-helical elements and three loops (D, anti-codon, and T loops). Further hydrogen bonds mediate the characteristic L-shaped molecular structure. tRNAs have two regions of fundamental functional importance: the anti-codon, which is responsible for specific mRNA codon recognition, and the 3' end, to which the tRNAs corresponding amino acid is attached (by aminoacyl-tRNA synthetases). tRNAs cope with the degeneracy of the genetic code in two manners: having more than one tRNA (with a specific anti-codon) for a particular amino acid; and 'wobble' base-pairing, i.e. permitting non-standard base-pairing at the 3rd anti-codon position. Lineage: Eukaryota; Metazoa; Chordata; Mammalia; Proboscidea; Elephantidae. The record is from Rfam by way of RNAcentral.
GCUGUGGUGGUGUAAUGGUUCGGCACUCAGCUGCUAACUGAAAGGUUGGUGGUUAGAACCCAUCCAGCAGCU